Astyanax mexicanus (Mexican tetra) is the source of this 1546-nucleotide long non-coding RNA. RefSeq lists it as uncharacterized. The record is from RefSeq and is a predicted model, not a curated record. The transcript has 5 exons. NCBI's taxonomy places the organism in Eukaryota, Metazoa, Chordata, Actinopteri, Characiformes, Acestrorhamphidae.
UGAUUAGCUUAUCAUUUUGAAAUAUGUCCAUUGCAGGUUUUACUGGUUGUGGAGAGAGAGAUCAUUUUUCUAGAUUCUGUACUCCCUGGUGGUUUUGGAGAUGACUCGUACAAAACGAUAUUUAGGUUAAGAGAGAGGAAAAAGUUGCCCUUGUUCAGUGGCUUUUACCAAUAAUAUUUUACGCAAGAGCCAUGUUCUGUGGCUGCUGAUUUACACAAAAGCCUUGUUCUAUGGCUGAUGAUUUACAAAAAGCCUUGUUCUAUGGCUGAUGAUUUACAAAAAGCCUUGUUCUAUGGCUGAAAAUUAACAAAAAGCCUUGUUCUAUGGCUGAUGAUUUACAAAAAGCCUUGUUCUAUGGCUGAAAAUUAACAAAAAGCCUUGUUCUAUGGCUGAUAAUUUACAAAAAGCCUUGUUCUAUGGCUGAAAAUUAACAAAAAGCCUUGUUCUAUGGCUAAUGAUUUACAAAAAGCCUUGUUCUAUGGCUGAUGAUUUACAAAAAGCCUUGUUCUAUGGCUGCUUAUUUAUAGCUUUGUUCUUUUGUUUUAUGUUUACGCAGAAGCCUUGUUCGAUGGCUGUAGGAUUAGGUCUCAUUUUAUGAAACAAGACCAUGGAGAACAAUUGUAUGACUAUAGGUUUCAGUAAGUGUGUGUCCAUAAUUAAUUUUUUUUUCCAUUUUAUGUGCAGACAUAUUGCAGGCCAGAUUGACCCAAGACCCUGGACAGAGAAGACCGGCAGAAGUUUUGAUCACUUCCCUCAACAAACUUCUGGGAACUACUGUGGCAUCCUUAUACUCAUUUAUGCCCUCUGUAUCUGCACCAAUACCCCAUUUAUCUUCACAGAGAAUGAUGUGCCAUUAAUCCGCCAGUGGUGGUGCAUCUUACUGAUGGAAAGAUUUCAGAUUGAAGGACAUGGCCAGAGGUUUGCUUUCUGGACUGACAGGGCUAGCAGGCUAUUGCAAGGGACCCUUCAGCCACUUUUUAGGGUAUCUAGGUCAAUCACUUCAGACAUUCCACCUCAUGUGCAAACCAUGGUCAACCGCACAGCCCAAGAAAAGAAGCUGGUAGACUUUGCUGUACAAGACCAUGGAGUCCGGCAACAUUUGUUGGUAUGUUUGUCACACAUUAACAAUGUUUGUUAUUUACAAUUUGCACAUUGUUUUACCAUUACAGUGUUAUAAGCAAAUAAGCAAAAGGCCUUAUAAUUCAUGCUUGUUGUCACCAUGUGUUGGGGGACUUUUUUUUUUUUUUUUUAAUGUGGAUUUACAGUCCAAAACUUUUAACAUAAACUACUUUUGACAUUCAACUAGAAAUGUUAAAUGUUUGCUCAUGUUUUGAUGAAGUGCUUUUGGCACUUUGCCUUUUGACCUAAGGGUGUACUCUGUGGAAAAGAGCCUUCGAAGUGGCUCAGCAGAAUCCAGAAGGGAUCAUCUCUACGGGUGCCAGUGUACCUGGACUCGGAGGAAGAACAGGACUCCCUAUUUUUCUAUCUUCAGGAUGUCCUGAAAUCUGCACCAGUAGAAUUCCACAUUGAGGAUCAAGUGCAGUUC